CCUAGAUAUAUAAAGUACCGCAAUUACCGCCAUAUUGGCGCCAAAACUAGCGGCAAAUUUAAAAAGGAGGCCAACAUUUCGCUGUUUCGGCUUUUUAAGCAGCUGGUCGGUCCGGCGCCAAUAUGGCCGACCAACAUUGACAGGCAAGCCGUAAAAUAAAAUAUUUAUUAAUUGUAAUAGAAUUACGUUUAUUAUCUACAGUUUACCUUCAUUUUAACGCCUAUAUAUGUUAAGAGGUUAUAAACGAAUGGUUUCCGUACAUGUGUUUUUCAUUUGUAUUAGCAUUUAAUUAUGUUACCUUUUAGCGCAAAGUACGCCAACAGAAUACUUAAUUCAGUCGAAACAAUUGGAAAAACUUUGUUUGUUGAUGAGAACGGGAUACCUAUACCAUAAGUAAACUUUCCCUAUUAUACCAGUUAUGCUGUAGUUAGUUUUGACAAAUAAGCAUGAUUUAACGAAAGUCUUUGGAACUAUGAAUAAGCUACAAACUUAAAUUUGAAGGCCGGCUUUUAUACGAGAAAAUUUUGAACCAUGGUUGAAACAAAUAAAUGUAAUAAUUAAAUUGAUAUGAUACAUACCUGCUAUUUUUGAAAUAUAUUAAUAUAUUGAUAGAAAGAUUGUUUCAAUUAG
This 630-nucleotide long non-coding RNA is filed under the name Sitophilus oryzae (rice weevil). Its description in RNAcentral is "uncharacterized LOC115880739". Lineage: Eukaryota; Metazoa; Arthropoda; Insecta; Coleoptera; Curculionidae. The record is from RNAcentral.